RNAcentral lists this long non-coding RNA (342 nucleotides) under Ananas comosus (pineapple). RNAcentral's name for it is "long non-coding RNA (ACOM_LNC040478)". The record is from RNAcentral. Lineage: Eukaryota; Viridiplantae; Streptophyta; Magnoliopsida; Poales; Bromeliaceae.
UACAUCUUAUUCCUCAUUACUUAACGGAUGGAGAUAAAUUCCAAUACUAUUCUACAGUUUCUCAAUUUCAUUUAUACUAUACUGAUUUCUCCACAUCAGUCUCUACGAACACUUUGUUCGUGUUUCCAAUCUCAAUUCGUCAUCGAUGCUUAUUUUAAUAAUUCUGACUCAUUAAUCCAUAGGACCGAGCCUUCGCUCUCACAGUCCCAAUACACUAUCCUUCACUUGGACAUGCACAUGGGUAAACUAUUUGUCUCAAUUACCUCAAAUCUGUUCAACUUAACUCAACGUCUCUCGCUCGCAAGCGUAAACCCAAUUAUCACGAAGCAAAGUUCUCAUUUG